CCUACGGGUGGCUGCAGUGGGGAAUUUUGCACAAUGGGCGAAAGCCUGAUGCAGCAACGCCGCGUGUGUGAUGAAGGUCUUCGGAUCGUAAAGCACUUUCGACCGGGACGAACAACCUCUGGCUAACAGUCAGGGGCCUGACGGUACCGGGAGAAGAAGCACCGGCUAACUCUGUGCCAGCAGCCGCGGUCAUACAGAGGGUGCAAGCGUUGUUCGGAAUUAUUGGGAGGAGGCUUGGUAAGUGGGGUGUGAAAGCCCUCAGCUCAACUGAGGAAGGGCGCCCGAAACUGGCGAGCUUGAGUGUCGGAGAGGAUGGCGGAAUACCCCAAGUAGAGGUGAAAUUCGUAGAUAUGGGGUGGAACACCGGUGGCGAAGGCGGCCAUCUGGACGACAACUGACGCUGAGACGCGAAAGCGUGGGGAGCAAACAGGAUUAGAUACCCCGGUAGUC
RNAcentral lists this ribosomal RNA (450 nucleotides) under uncultured bacterium. Its description in RNAcentral is "partial 16S ribosomal RNA". It matches the Rfam family "Bacterial small subunit ribosomal RNA", at positions 338 to 795 of the family's 1533-position model. The record is from RNAcentral.